Molecule: long non-coding RNA, 509 nt
Organism: Silurus meridionalis
Lineage: Eukaryota; Metazoa; Chordata; Actinopteri; Siluriformes; Siluridae
Exons: 3
Source: RefSeq, a predicted model, not a curated record
GAGGCCUGGAAAAAAAGGAACCAAUGAUGAGCAAGAGCCCGAACAGAGGAGGCUGAGUCUUCCUUUCAAAAGCAGCUCCCGAAGUCCCCAGGAGAGGGAAAUAAAAGAAGAAGAGAGAGAAAGAGAGAGCUUGUUGCUAGUUGUUGCUAGUUGUCUCUGUUAUACUAGCUCACCUGGUUUAAGAACAGGCAAAAGACUUGAGAUGCAGAAGAGGAAAUCCCACUGGACCCUCGCACCGCCUUGUUAGUGAAGGAAAAUCAUCAGCCCUGUGGCAGGAAGACCCUGACACCUACAGAAUGGAUUACCUUUACAGAGUCCCUUAUCAGCUCCUGCACCUUCCCAGCACUGGUAUUCCCUCAAUUCAGUUAAUUCCCUGAGCCAGGUGGAGAUAGUGGAGGAAAACUGUCUGAUUCACCAUAAAGCUGCUAGGGAAAAGUCUUUCAGAUAUAAUCUGUUUAUGCUUUAGUCACUCAAAUGUAUGGCCACAUGUUGUAAUUAAAUUUUUUCUA